This 1359-nucleotide ribosomal RNA is filed under the name uncultured bacterium. RNAcentral describes it as "16S ribosomal RNA". It matches the Rfam family "Bacterial small subunit ribosomal RNA". The record is from RNAcentral.
CCUGGCUCUGGACGAACGCUGGCGGCGCGCCUAACACAUGCAAGUCGAACGAGCGAGAGAGAGCUUGCUUUCUCGAGCGAGUGGCGAACGGGUGAGUAACGCGUGAGGAACCUGCCUCAAAGAGGGGGACAACAGUUGGAAACGACUGCUAAUACCGCAUAAGCCCACAGCUCGGCAUCGAGCAGAGGGAAAAGGAGCAAUCCGCUUUGAGAUGGCCUCGCGUCCGAUUAGCUAGUUGGUGAGGUAAUGGCCCACCAAGGCGACGAUCGGUAGCCGGACUGAGAGGUUGAACGGCCACAUUGGGACUGAGACACGGCCCAGACUCCUACGGGAGGCAGCAGUGGGGAAUAUUGCACAAUGGGGGAAACCCUGAUGCAGCGACGCCGCGUGGAGGAAGAAGGUCUUCGGAUUGUAAACUCCUGUUGUUGAGGAAGAUAAUGACGGUACUCAACAAGGAAGUGACGGCUAACUACGUGCCAGCAGCCGCGGUAAAACGUAGGUCACAAGCGUUGUCCGGAAUUACUGGGUGUAAAGGGAGCGCAGGCGGGAAGACAAGUUGGAAGUGAAAUCUAUGGGCUCAACCCAUAAACUGCUUUCACAACUGUUUUUCUUGAGUAGUGCAGAGGCAGGCGGAAUUCCCGGUGUAGCGGUGGAAUGCGUAGAUAUCGGGAGGAACACCAGUGGCGAAGGCGGCCUACUGGGCACCAACUGACGCUGAGGCUCGAAAGUGUGGGUAGCAAACAGGAUUAGAUACCCUGGCAGUCCACACCGUAAACGAUGAUUACUAGGUGUUGGAGGAUUGACCCCUUCAGUGCCGCAGUUAACACAAUAAGUAAUCCACCUGGGGAGUACGACCGCAAGGUUGAAACUCAAAGGAAUUGACGGGGGCCCGCACAAGCAGUGGAGUAUGUGGUUUAAUUCGACGCAACGCGAAGAACCUUACCAAGUCUUGACAUCCCUUGACGAACAUAGAAAUAUGUUUUCUCUUCGGAGCAAGGAGACAGGUGGUGCAUGGUUGUCGUCAGCUCGUGUCGUGAGAUGUUGGGUUAAGUCCCGCAACGAGCGCAACCCUUACUGUCAGUUACUACGCAAGAGGACUCUGGCAGGACUGCCGUUGACAAAACGGAGGAAGGUGGGGAUGACGUCAAAUCAUCAUGCCCUUUAUGACUUGGGCUACACACGUACUACAAUGGCGUUAAACAAAGAGAAGCAAGACCGCGAGGUGGAGCAAAACUCAGAAACAACGUCCCAGUUCGGACUGCAGGCUGCAACUCGCCUGCACGAAGUCGGAAUUGCUAGUAAUCGUGGAUCAGCAUGCCACGGUGAAUACGUUCCCGGGCCUGUACACACCGCCCGUCA